UCAAUAGUAUACUAACUGAACUUUAUAUAUAUAUAUAUAUAUAUAUAUAUAAUUGAGCUCUUAUACUUUUAAAAGUACCAAGUCAUCGGUACUUGUAAAUUUUUAGUCCUUGGAUUAAGGAAUGUGCGGUUAAGAUGAUGUGGGUCCCCAUAAGGUUAAGUGGGUGGUUGGUUGAAUAAUAUAAUCUAACGGGUGAAAAUGAUCAAAGGCGUAGAUCUAACGGCAAAAAAUUUACAAGCACCAAAUACUUGAUACUUUUACAAGCACUAUAGCCGGACUAUAUAUAUAUAU
RNAcentral lists this long non-coding RNA (291 nucleotides) under Ananas comosus (pineapple). RNAcentral describes it as "long non-coding RNA (ACOM_LNC025458)". The record is from RNAcentral. Lineage: Eukaryota; Viridiplantae; Streptophyta; Magnoliopsida; Poales; Bromeliaceae.